GGGAGUUUGGGAGUGGUAUGAUUCUCGCUUCGGGUGCGAGAGGCCGCGAGUUCGAUUCUCGUAACUCCCC
This 70-nucleotide transfer RNA is filed under the name Pleodorina starrii. Its description in RNAcentral is "tRNA-Pro". It matches the Rfam family "tRNA". Rfam says of the family: Transfer RNA (tRNA) molecules are approximately 80 nucleotides in length. Their secondary structure includes four short double-helical elements and three loops (D, anti-codon, and T loops). Lineage: Eukaryota; Viridiplantae; Chlorophyta; Chlorophyceae; Chlamydomonadales; Volvocaceae. The record is from RNAcentral.